RNAcentral lists this long non-coding RNA (12032 nucleotides) under Brassica napus (rape). RNAcentral's name for it is "long non-coding RNA (BNAP_LNC016361)". The record is from RNAcentral. Lineage: Eukaryota; Viridiplantae; Streptophyta; Magnoliopsida; Brassicales; Brassicaceae.
UUCAGAACUGUGCUGCAUUUGCUUUGAGCAAGUGUGCACGAUAGAAGUCAAAGACUGUGGUCACCAAAUGUGUGCACAAUGCACACUUGCACUUUGCUGUCACAACAAACCGAACCCAACGACCUCAACCGUGAAUCCACCGGUCUGUCCGUUCUGUAGAAGUGUCAUCGCACGGUUAGUAGUCGCCCGGAACAACAACAAGGACGAUAAGAGCAAGAGCCAAGAUGAAGUUGGUGAUGUAAGCUCCUCAAAACUAAGGAAGCAUAGAAAAUCGAUAAACCUUGGAGAAGAAGGCAGCAGCUUCAUGGGACUAUCAAGCAUUGGAUCGUUCGGAAAGGUUACCGGCCGUGGCUCUGGAAGGAUCGUAGCCGACAAUGAGCUGAUGGACAAACCGAUUUCCUGAGGAUUGAUUUCACUUAAAGACAAGACAUUAUGGGUGAAAUUGUGAGAAUGCAUAGAUGAAUUUAUGUACUGUAAUAUGAUCUUUUGAUGUAGCGUACAUCCUCUUACGCUUUGGUUUUGGUUUUCUUUCCUUUUCCUAUUAAUGUUAAGUUUUGAUCUAUUUCCUUUUAAGAUUAGGUUUUCUAUAUCAUUAUAUAUAGUAUCAUCUCGGCUUUGUGAGGGAUACGACUUUUUGAAUUAUUGAUUAAUAAACUAGAGCUUUUGUGUUAACAAACUCUUGAAACCUUACUUCCGGGCAUUCUCUAAGAAUUCAACGGCUUUAAGAAGGCAUAGAUAGCGGGCAUUCUCAGAAUUCAACGAUAUCUUUGCAUUAUCGGUUACUAGACGGUACUUCCGCUCCGUCAAUUGGUAUCAGAGACCUUUUAAUUACGUUCCAAUCGUGAUUAUCGAUCUUCGGUUACAAUGGCACCUCGUCCAAACGAAUGGACACAGAUGCAACAGUUCCUGGAAGAUUUUCAAGAAAAUUUUCAAGACAACAUGAGACGGACGAUGGCUGAAGCAAUUCAGUCCGGAGUUCAAGCAGGCGUCCAAGCCGCACUUGCCGCCAACGCCGCAAACGCAGCCAAUGAUCGACACCCUGCCAAUGCAGCACAAGGCGCACACGCACCUCCAGCUCAACGGCAACUUCGUCACGACAAUCCCGUCUUUGACGAUCACGAAGAGGACAACGAUGAGGAGAAUCCAUUCGCUGAUGGAAAUCACCGCAAUCGUCACCGUCCAGAGCAACACAACAGACACAACGAGGAUACCCGUUGGAUGUCAGGGGUUAAAAUUGAUAUCCCAGAAUACCAUGGCGGUUCGCAACCGGAAGAUCUUCUUGACUGGUUUGUUACUGUCGAUGAAUUCAUCGAAUUCAAAGAAGUUCCAGAACAGAAGAGAGUACCGCUUGUAACAACCAGAUUCCGUGGUCAUGCUGCCUCAUGGUGGAGUCAAAUUAAAACUUCACGGAUUCGCCGUGGAAAGGAAAAGAUAACAUCAUGGGAUAAACUCAAAAAACAUAUGCGGAAAACUUUUAUCCCAUAUAACUUUGAGCGUCUCUUAUUCCAGAAGUUUCAUAAUAUACGUCAAGGGUCACGUUCCGUCGAAGAAUAUUCUAAUGAAUUCUAUCAGAUGUUAACUCGAAUAGAUGUUCAUGACUCAGAAGAUCAGCUGGUGGCUCGCUAUAUCGCAGGGCUACGGCAACAAUUGCAGACCAUGCUACACCAGUUCGACCCUUGUUCCGUCUCUGAAGCUCGUCAGCGGGCCCUGCUCAUCGAACAACAGUCACGCCUCAGCACUAACCAGUGGUCAGGAAAUUCACGUGGUCGCAACACAACAACUCCCGACGAUUCCAAAAACUCGACGACCCGUGAGACCACAACCACUCCACCGAGUUCGCGGCCGACGACUCGACCAGCAGAGGUCGUCGAAGGCCGACCACCACGAACAGGCGCGCUUCGUUGUUUCACCUGUGGUGAACGAGGCCAUAUUCAAACAGCUUGCCCAACUCUUGGACGUCGCGGGUUACUCGCAGCAGAUAAAGAGGGCAUGGGAGAUCCUAUUUACGAUGAUGACGAGGACCUCGAAGAUGAUAUUGAAGAAGACCAGGUCGCAGGAGACACAGGAACUUUCCUUAUGCUUCGAAGAAACUGUUUUGCUCCCCAGACCAGUGAACCAUGGCAGCGCACAUCGUUAUUUUCUUCCACCUGCACGGUGAAAGGAAAGAUAUGCCGGUUUGUAAUUGAUUCAGGAUGUUCGGCUAAUGUGGUUUCAGAGGAAGCUGUCCGAAAACUGAACCUCAAGACGGAAGCUCAUCCACACCCUUACCGCCUACUUUGGAUGCAGACUGGGGCAGAGGUUUACGUGUCACAACGAACACUCAUCUCCCUAUCGAUCGGCUCUUUUUAUAAAGAUGAGCUGUACUGCGAUAUUGCUCCGAUGGAUGUCUCGCAUAUUAUCCUCGGGCGACCGUGGCAGUUUGAUCGUGAAGUCAUUCACAAUGGCAAAACGAACACUAAUUCCUUCAUGUUCCAAGGACGAAAAAUCACUCUGCUUCCAUCACCUGAUACGACUAGUACCGUUGCCACAACCACUACACCGUCGACGUCAAAACAAAAUCUCAUGAUCAUAUCUCGUUCUCAGUUCGAACAAGAACUCCAAGAGACAAGACCUUUAUUUGCGCUGGUCUCCGUUACGCCAACGCCCCCACACCCAACCCCGUUACCAACCGCUUUCGUCCCACUCUUAACAGAAUUCGAAGACCUGUUCCCGGACGAGCUACCAGCGGGAUUACCUCCACUCAGGGACAUUCAACAUCACAUAGACCUCGUCCCAAAUGCGGUUUUGCCUAACCGAGCUCACUAUCGUAUGAGCCCUGAAGAACAUGAAGAACUUCGAAGACAAGUUGAAGACUUGCUAAUCAAGGGGUAUGUACGCGAGAGUCUAAGCCCAUGCGCGGUUCCAGCACUUCUCAUUCCCAAGAAAGACCGAUCAUGGCGUAUGUGUGUAGACAGCCGCGCCAUCAACAAGAUCACUACACGUUAUCGUUUUCCCAUUCCCCGCCUUGAUGAUCUUCUCGACCAAAUCGGCAAGGCAUCUAUAUUCACUAAAUUAGAUCUUAAAAGCGGGUACCAUCAAAUCCGUAUUCGACCAGGGGACGAGUGGAAAACUGCUUUCAAAACUCGAGAGGGCCUAUUUGAGUGGUUAGUAAUGCCGUUUGGAUUAUCUAAUGCACCAAGCACGUUUAUGCGUGUGAUGAAUCAGACCCUUCGGCCCUUUAUUGGUCGUUUUGUCGUGGUUUACUUCGAUGAUAUCCUUAUCUUCAGCACCACAAUGGACGAGCACCUACAUCACCUUCGCGAGGUCUUACUGGCAUUACGAAAGGACAAGCUCUUUAUUGCACGGCAGAAGUGUGAGUUCGGGAGAUCGGACGUUCUCUUCCUCGGGUACGUUGUCUCUGCCGCAGGGCUUCGCGUCGAUCCACUAAAAGUAGAAGCAGUCGCUUCUUGGCCUACACCAACAACAAUCUCGGAGAUCAGGAGCUUUCACGGUUUGGCUUCCUUUUAUCGAAGGUUCAUCCAUAACUUUAGCUCCAUUAUGGCACCUGUUACUGAUUGUAUGAAGGGAGUUUCGUUUUCUUGGACGGAGGACGCAACACGAGCUUUUGCGAUCAUUAAAGAGAAAUUGACGACAGCUCCUAUUCUAGUACUCCCCGACUUUGACGCACCCUUUGAGCUACAUUGUGAUGCUUCAAAACUUGGGGUGGGCGCCGUCCUCUCUCAAUUUGGCCGGCCGGUUGCCUUCUAUAGCGAGAAACUCGCAGGAGCACGCAGUCGUUAUAGCACCUAUGAUAUCGAGUUCUAUGCAAUUGUUCAAGCCAUCAAACAUUGGCGUCACUAUCUGGCUCAUAAGGAGUUCAUCUUGUUCACCGAUCAUGCGGCGUUAAAGUAUUUGGGUACCCAAGAUAAGAUUUCAUCUCGGCAUGCAUCGUGGACGGCGUAUUUGCAACAAUUUACAUUCGUUAUUAAGCAUAAAUCUGGGAAGUUGAACAAAGUCGCGGACGCCUUGAGUCGGCGUCAUGCACUGGUCUCCACCCUUCGUGUUUCCGUCACCGGGUUUGAGUGUUUGUCGGAUUUAUAUCCAACAGACGCUUUCUUCUCACCCAUAUGGAUGGAUCUUACGCAGGGCGUACGUUCGGAUUUUUCUUUGGUCGAUGGAUUUGUCUUUAAAGACAAUCGUUUAUGUGUUCCUACCUGUAGUCUCCGCCUCCAGAUUAUCAAAGAGUUACACGGAGAGGGGCAUAUAGGCAGAGAUCGCACUCUCAAGCUUGUGGCGGAAUCUUAUUUCUGGCCGACGUUAAGACGAGAUGUCGAGAGGUUUGUGGCUCGUUGCACCUCGUGUCAGCAAGGCAAGGGUCAGGCUUCUAACGCCGGUCUUUAUCUCCCGUUACCAGUUCCAACGCAACCUUGGAGCGAUAUCAGUAUGGAUUUUGUACUCGGUCUUCCUCGAACUCAACGUGGGCAUGAUUCUAUCUUUGUAGUGGUUGAUCGUUUCUCCAAAAUGGCGCACUUUAUUCCUUGUAAGAAGACGACAGAUGCGGUACAGGUCGCUCAACUCUUCUUUCGCGAGGUGUAUAGGCUUCACGGCCUCCCUUUAACUAUAGUCUCAGACCGGGACUCUCGGUUCAUUGGACACUUCUGGCGUUCUCUUUGGAAACUGUUGAAAACCAGUUUAAACAUGAGUUCCGCUUACCAUCCCCAGACUGAUGGUCAGACCGAGGUGGUUAAUCGAAGUUUAGGCAAUAUGUUGCGAUGUUUGGUGGGUGAUAAUCAUCUUCCGCGUUUGAUAACGCAACAAUUGCUCCUCCUGCUCCAAUGGAAGCUUCACCCUCAUGUAUCACCACUGUUCUUAUCACAAUAUUCAGAUCAAAUGUGCCAUUAUAUGAUAAAUACCCUAUUGAGCCAGAGUAAAGACCUCUCGAACACUUCUCAAGCGAGUCAAGAAUCUCGACCGAUCUCAGUUUCGGAGCACCGGUUAUUGACCCGCCAGGGAAAGCUGCUCUUACACAUUCCACUGGACUAAUAUCUGACUUUUUCAGUCCACGGACCGUGCUCACCAUAGUGUGUACUGUUGUAUAUGUUUCCACGUCCAUGAGGUUAGGCACAUGCACUGAGCCAGGCUCACAUACACGACCAAGAUCAUUCCUCAGAAGGUCAACAAUCAUCAGAUUCUCUGCUUGAUUCUUCUCACUGAUUACAUGAACGAAAGGUCACGUCAAUGAAUGUUAAAGUACAAAUAUUCUAGACUCAUUUUGAGUAUCUAACAAUUAAUAUAUAAAUAUUUUUAACAAAACUAAAUUACUAAAUAAAAGAAAAAUGAUGAACCUAUUAUAAACUUGCAAGUGGCAAAAAGAGGUUCAGAGCAAUUCUCAAAUGAGAUGCAAUAUCUCUUUCUCUCACCAACUUUUUUUAUUCUUAUAUUAUAAUGUGCUCUUAUGAUACUUAAAGGUUUUGGUGGUACCUGAGUUUCAAUUGCAGUUUGAGAAGUUCAUCUUCUUCAGGUGUGGAGCCACGAGCCAUAGUACCCUUGAUCGGCUUUGCUUCAAGCACUCCAUGUCUGUCUAGCUUAAGAAACCUUUCAGGGGAUGAACAGCAUAAAGACACAUUUGCAUUAGAGAAGUUGAGAAAAGCUGCAUAUGGAGCUGGAUUCCUCUCUCUGAGGUGUAGAUAGAGUCCCAAAGGAUCAGUGUUCCCUAUCUUCAAUCUGUUCUGAGUAGUGAGACAAAGCUCGUAGCUCUCCCCGUCUUUGAUGUACUGCAUACACCUCUCAACAUCGUUGAUAUACUGCUCUCGUGAUUUGUCAGGGACAAAACUUGUAGAUGAAUCUAUAGGAGGAUUAGUUUGAUCCUUCCACUUUCUUGUAGACGAAACGUUCAUGCUAAUGAGCUUCUCUUCGGUAUCUUUGAGGAAAGAGGUUUCUACGGUGCCAUCUUGGUGAAGAGAUAAUACAUAAACGUCAUCAAGAUGAUGAUCAAUGGCGACAAUGUUAUCUACAAAGAAAAAACAUGCAUCCGGAGCCUUGGAUUUGUGACGGUUAUUUGGCAUUCCACAUUCGACUUUAAUAUCAUACCUGNNNNNNNNNNNNNNNNNNNNNNNNNNNNNNNNNNNNNNNNNNNNNNNNNNNNNNNNNNNNNNNNNNNNNNNNNNNNNNNNNNNNNNNNNNNNNNNNNNNNNNNNNNNNNNNNNNNNNNNNNNNNNNNNNNNNNNNNNNNNNNNNNNNNNNNNNNNNNNNNNNNNNNNNNNNNNNNNNNNNNNNNNNNNNNNNNNNNNNNNNNNNNNNNNNNNNNNNNNNNNNNNNNNNNNNNNNNNNNNNNNNNNNNNNNNNNNNNNNNNNNNNNNNNNNNNNNNNNNNNNNNNNNNNNNNNNNNNNNNNNNNNNNNNNNNNNNNNNNNNNNNNNNNNNNNNNNNNNNNNNNNNNNNNNNNNNNNNNNNNNNNNNNNNNNNNNNNNNNNNNNNNNNNNNNNNNNNNNNNNNNNNNNNNNNNNNNNNNNNNNNNNNNNNNNNNNNNNNNNNNNNNNNNNUAUAUCAACUUUUAUGUUUUUGCGUAUGGAUUUUAAAUAUAUAUUAUUUUGUAUAAUGCAUACUUGCUCUACAACAUUUGCUUGUAAACUAAAAAAACUGUUUUCUAUAUUUUUAAAAGAGAAAAUAUUUAGUUUAGAAUAUAACAUGGACAUAUGUAUUGACUAUAUAUAGAAGUUGAGUGUUAUUUUAAAAUGACAUAUCUAUAGAGGUUUUUCAACCAUUACUUCACUGACACAAAACAUUUAUAACUGUAAAUAUCUUCUUUUAAAAGCAAAACUAAUAAAAACGUGUACAACAAAUGUAUUUUGAUAUAUAUUAUAUGCAUCAAGUUAUAAAGGUUGGAAACAUUGCAAAACUGUUUGGAGCAAAGUUUUUAACUUCACGAUCUUCAUCUUGACGUCAAUUCAGUGUCGGCCCUGGCCACAAGCAGAAGAAGCAUGGGCUUCCAGCCGACACGAUAAUAAGUAUUUUCGCGGCCACAUAUUUAUAAAAAUUGACUUCAGCCUAGUGGUUCUAAGAGAAAUUACCAGUGCUAGAGGUGCUGGGUUCGAUUACCCCUGACUGCAUUCAUUUAUUUUGGCUCCAAAUAUAAAAUGGGACACGUGUCACUCCCAUAACGCACGACUUGAUGACGUGGCUUUACGGGAGAAAGGCGAACAUUUUUUUAUAUAUAUAGAUAAUAUAGUAUCGUACAAUUUGACCUAAGUUCUACACUAAUUGCAAAAGAAAAACAUGAUACAACUAGUGAAACUUAAAGUGUUUGAAAUUUUUGGAUUCUCCUCUAAAGGAUACAUAUAUACAUUUAACCAAGGGUUGGAAAACUUAUGAAAAAAUGUAUUAUACUCUACUAUACAACAUAUAUAGUAUAGUUUGAACGACAUUCAUUUUGUACUGAACCAUACAAAACUUCCAAAAUAGUGCACAAAUUGAUGAUAUAAGGUCAUCGAAUGUGUUAUCUGUUGGUAGAAGAAACACAUGAAACUACUUUGAACCAUAAGGGCUUUCAAUUGGCAUAAUUUAAUAUAGCAGACCCAUAUAUUACCUAAUUACUGCGCAAACAGUUGAAAGUUAUUUUAUAGUAUAAAAGAUAAUAGUAUAGAAAUGAUACAACUACUAGAUGACAAUACAAUCGUUCAUAUGUAUUGCAUAAAGUAUAUAAAAUUCCUGAAAAUUAGGUACGGCAUGUGAGUAAACAUUUAAAAAGUAGACAUAAUAACAAAGGGGGUUCUAUUCAACAAGUCACUAUAGGUAGCAUAUGAGUAGAGAAAGAACAACUUAGCGGUUCCAUCCAAUAUGUCACUAUAAGUAGCAUAUGAGUAGAUAAAGAACAACAUCAUGGUUCCAUCCAACAAGUCACUACGGGAGUUGGGCGGGGUUGAAUGUCGAGAAGGCUGCAACUGCAUAUGUCUUUCUUCGCUGCAACUGCAAGUGAUUCAUUUGUGAGUGAGGCGCACUGAUUCAGGCUCUAUGUGGCAUUAAAUUCCAAGAGCACAAGCAUUGCCACACAAAAAAACCUGAAAAAUGUAAAUCAUGUACGUUAACCAGUUUAGCACCUUCCAUAUACUAUAUACAUUUAUUAUAUAGUAUAGACACCUCAGCUGCAUCAUACAUCAGUUUAUCCUCCCCCUCUUUCCUCCCACACAGACUUUUAUCCUCCCCCUCUUUCCUCCCACACAGACUCAGAAACUUGUGUUGUGAAACAAACACAAGCAUUGACAUUCAAAUGUACAUAGAUCAUUUUAUACUUAAUAAUUGACUAUGUCUACUACACAUGUGUAUCUGUACUAUUUAAGUUUCUCAUAUAGUAUAGUCUUAUAAUUGACAUCUUACAUCAAACACAAGCAGAAUACACAAAGACAUCCAUGGAGAGGUCACGGUUUAAGGAGCGAAAUAGAAAACUACAAACUGAAAAAUGAAACUAAAAAAUAUGUUUCACAUUACCGUAUUCGUCGAUCCACUGGUAACCCACUUCAGACUAGAUCUGAAAAAAAUGGUGGUUCCGAGUAAAUUACAGUAAAUUAAUCGAGGAGAAAGAUUACACUGAAACUGAUGGUUUGUCCCCUUAUUUUAUUCAAUCAAACCAGUGUCACCUUGCUUCGUUGUCGUUUGCUCUGUAAUCGCGCCACCGUGAAAUUGAAAGCUCCGUCGUAAGACAGGUUUUGAAUCUGCAACGUCUGACGCUCUCAACAACCGAAAGUAGCAGAUUUAAUCAUUUUUCCUUUUCAAACUCGACUGACAAUCGCUCUCCCAAAUCGAUCUUGUUCUUCGCCUGAAAGAAAAUAGAAAGCGAAAAUCAUUUUUAAGUUAACGAAACCGUUUCAAUGAUGUAGAAAAAGACACAUCAACAAGUAACACUUUUCACGCGCAGGUAAGGAUAUAACCGUCAUUUUUUAGAAUAAUAUGUAUUAUAUCAUAGUCAAAACUUUGAUAUGGUUAUAAACUUAAUUUUGGCUGUGCUAUGGAUAUGCACCCUAAUUUCCCAUUUCUAAAUAUCCAAACCGUAUCGCAACGGGUACCUGAACGCUCAAGCCUAACUUAAAGUAUGUUUUAUGUUUUAUUCAAUUAGUUUUAUAUUUGAUAAAUAUUUUAUAUGUGUUGGAAUAACCCGUGAAACUAUACUAAAAAAAAUAUCAAUAAUAACGUGUUCCAGUAUAUGAUUAAAUAUUAAUGACUAUUACUAUUUAUUUUAUCAUAUAUAUCUAGUUUAAUACUUUAUCUAUAAAAAUUAUAUUAUUAUGUAUUUGGUGAGGGUUUUAAAGAAUUUGUUUCUUGCAUUUGAAGUAAAAUACAUUUGUAUAUAUGAAAUAGUAGGCAUAUAUAAUUCUUUUUAUAUUAAUAAAUAAAUUAUAAUUGAUGAUUUAAUUAAAAGUAGUGUUAAGCUAAAAUGAAUUCAUUAUUUUAAAAAUUAAUAGAUUAGUUAUUUAGUUCCUUAAUUUUAGGUUAGUGUAUAUAUUUAACAAUAAUUAAAUUAUGUAUAAAUAGAAAUAAGAGGAAACCUAAUUAAAUAUAAUGGUCUAACCUAGACUAUUUGUAAGUACAUAAAAAAUAUGACCCUAAAUUAAUAGACUAGAAGGGUAUGUUAAAAAUUCAAAAACCUUAAAGUUUGAAGGUCUAAGAGCUGCGGCUCAAAAAAGAAGGUUUAAGAGCUAAACACAGGUAUAAAACAAAUAAUAAUAAUCUGGUAUAAAACAGGGGAUGAUAUGUAGUUAUUUUCGCCAUGUUUCAUGUGAUUGAGGUACUCAGGUGAAACAAUCGAGAUCUUUAAGCAAAAAUCAAAGAAGUAUGAUUAACUGAAAACUAUAAAUAAAAUAAAAAGAGGAUAUCUGACAAGCUGCCCGAAAUCACGGAAGAAACUGUAAUCCAACUGACACGGGCAAAGAUUAAAAAUUGCUGCCCGUCGGGGAAAAAAAUAAAAGAAAUUUUUUAUUUUUAUUUUUAAUUCCAAAGUUUUUUUAUUUUUUAAAAAAUAAUAUCUCAAAGCGAAAAGGCUCCAUCAUAAAUGUGAAACUUCCCUCUUCUUCUUCUCCACUGGAAUCACCAAACCCAAACAGGGCCCACCGUGGCGCUUUACUCUCACGGCGGAGCGCCUCACCGGUGGCAGACGGUGUCGUGAUUCCCAAGAGAAGCAGCGAUGGGGCAGAGCAUGAGCUGCGGAGCUAGACCAGAGCACGAGAUAUUCGCCUCCGUGCAGCGCGGCGACAUCGUCACCGUGCGUCGAGCUAUAACGGCGGAUCCGAGUGUCGUGCGACAGACCACUGCUUACGAUCGUCACUCCCUUCUCCACGUCGCUGCUGCUAGCGGCCACAUCGAGGUCUGUUUUAGUUAGUUUUCUCGUCGGAAUCUCUUGUUUGAUUCGGUUUUAUUACUGAUGCAUUUCUGCAGAUUCUGUCAUUGCUUCUGGAACGAUCUUUAAAUCCAGAUAUGUUGAAUCGCCACAACCAGGUAACAUUUGAUGAUUCGCAUUGAUCUUUUGUUGUAAUUCUAAUGAAGCUGAUGUGAUUCGUGUAGACUCCGUUAAUGUUGGCUGCAAUGCAUGGGAGGAUCUCUUGCAUCAAGAAGCUUGCUCAAGUUGGAGCUAAUGUACGUAAGGUUUUUUUUUUUUUUUUUUGAAUUAUAUAGGAGUAUCAUGACCCUAGUCUAGAUUAUUCACGUGUUACCACGUCUUGGUUUCCUGUCCCUGGCGAUGCCGAAAUGUUAAUUUCCUAGUGGCCGGGAUUCGAACCCUGGUGGCUUCACCGUAUUGGACUUUUGCCCUCAAGAUAACCACCACGGGACCACAAUUUUUGACUAUGUUAAUGUUGGGGAUCUGCAGGUUUUGAUGUUUGAUAGUGUGAAUAGAAGAACAUGCCUGCACUACGCAGCUUACUAUGGACAUGCUGAUUGUGUUCAAGCCAUUCUUUCUGCUGCUCGCUCAACUCCCGUUGCUCUUCAUUGGUGACACUCUCUCUCUCUUUUACAUGAUCAUUAGUUAUGCAUUUUAGCUGAAAGUUUAUUUUAUACUUUGGAGUUUACUUUUCUCAGGGGAUAUGCGAGAUUUGUAAAUCUGAGAGAUGACAAAGGAGCAACACCGUUGCAUCUAGCUGCACGUCAGAGAAGUCCUGAUUGUGUGAAUGCCUUGUUGGACAGUGGCUCUCUUGUUUGUGCUUCUACUAGCCUAUACGGGUGAUGAAGCUGUUUCUGUUGAAAUUAACAUUUGUCAAUCUUUUGGGACUGAAUAAUCUCCUUGAAACAGGUCUCCAGGAAGCACAGCUCUUCAUUUAGCAGCAAGAAGCGGAUCUAUCGACUGCGUCAGAAAAUUACUAGCUUGGGGUGCUGAUCGUCUACAGAGAGACGGUUCUGGGUAUUUUUAAACAUUCUCUAUCGCCACUUUCCAAACUUGUAUUGAAAAUCUCAGUGAAUCUUGAAAUCUUUUUCCUUCAGGAGGAUACCUUAUGUGGUUGCCAUGAAAUACAAGCACGGAGCAUGUGGAGCGUUGCUUAACCCUUCUUCUGCAGAGCCUCUUGUCUGGCCAUCGCCGUUAAAGUUCAUCGGCGAGCUUAACGAGGAGGCGAAACUGCUCUUAGAGCAGGCUCUGAUGGAUGCUAACAUGGAAAGAGAAAAAGCCAUCCUUAAUGGAACUGAUUACUCCUUACCAUCACCACCACCAUCUUUCUCCGACACUGCCUCAGAUGAUGAUAACAUGUCUGAGGUAAUGUUACACAUAAAGCUUACACUGUUUGUUAAAUCCUAUAUUAAUGCGUUGUAAAAUGUGUUUUCAGAUGAGUGAUUCAGAACUGUGCUGCAUUUGCUUUGAGCAAGUGUGCACGAUAGAAGUCAAAGACUGUGGUCACCAAAUGUGUGCACAAUGCACACUUGCACUUUGCUGUCACAACAAACCGAACCCAACGACCUCAACUGUGACUCCACCGGUCUGCCCGUUCUGUAGAAGUGUCAUCGCACGGUUAGUAGUCGCUCAGAACAACAACAAGGACGAUAGGAGCAAUAGCCAAGAUGAAGUUGGUGAUGUAAGCU